RNAcentral lists this long non-coding RNA (869 nucleotides) under Daphnia pulicaria. RNAcentral's name for it is "uncharacterized LOC124315705, transcript variant X2". Lineage: Eukaryota; Metazoa; Arthropoda; Branchiopoda; Diplostraca; Daphniidae. The record is from RNAcentral.
UGUAUGGAACGCCAAAGUGACGCAAAAUUAACUGCUUGAAAUUUACUGCAAUUCACCACCGCCUUCUAGCGGGCGGACCGAAAAUCGUCGUUUCUCUGCCUCUUUUGGGGAGGGGUUCUAAGCUAUCGAUUGCAAUGCAAUAGUUAGCUUAACAAUUGAUUUGCAAUCGUCUCAGACGAAUGUUAUUGUUUACAAUCGCAAGGUAAAAACAAAAAAAUCAAAGUGGUUCUUUUUGCUCUAGCAAAUUUUCAUUAGAAGGACAUAUCUAAUAAGUGAAGCCGUGAUGAACCCUUAAAACUCAUAAGGAGAAGUGUUGAUGAUAGUCGAGGACUGUCGAAUAGGCCAUUUGCAAACGUACUUGCCCAAUCACCGACAUAACUCGAAUUUGAUUGAUUGAUGGAAAUCUCUCAGUUCCGGACAUGCAGGAAAUACUGCAUGCAUUAAAAGAAAGCAAGGUUAAAGAGAAAGCAGUGACAGUGAGAUACCUAAUACAAAGAGGCAGAUUGCAAUCACAUACUUCAACUCAAUAGUCCAUGAUGUAAACUUGGCAGGUGAAUGUGAGCAGUAUCAUACUGGGUUUGCCAAGAACACCGAACACCCCAAUACCAAUUUGUUGUACUGGCCAUGUCCACAGCGGACUUAAUAUCUUGAAUAACUGCCAGAAGAAUGGAUUAUUGGACCUGCAAAAAACUGAGUCUGUAACUGGGAAUUAAUUAAUUGAAAACGAGCGUUGUUACAUGUUUGUUCUACCCGGGAAGGUACUCUACAACACAGCUGUGACGGUCAGGAUCAAGUGCGACAACCGCACUUGCUUUACGACAGCGAGGACGAGUCAGACGAGCGGGACUGCCAUUCGGCUAGCCCGUGCA